GAUGAACGCUGGCGGCGUGCCUAAUACAUGCAAGUCGAGCGAAUGGAUUGAGAGCUUGCUCUUAUGAAGUUAGCGGCGGACGGGUGAGUAACACGUGGGUAACCUGCCCAUAAGACUGGGAUAACUCCGGGAAACCGGGGCUAAUACCGGAUAACAUUUUGAACCGCAUGGUUCGAAAUUGAAAGGCGGCUUCGGCUGUCACUUAUGGAUGGACCCGCGUCGCAUUAGCUAGUUGGUGAGGUAACGGCUCACCAAGGCAACGAUGCGUAGGCGGCGUGAGAGGGUGAUCGGCCACACUGGGACUGAGACACGGCCCAGACUCCUACGGGAGGGAGCAGUAGGGAAUCUUCCGCAAUGGACGAAAGUCUGACGGAGCAACGCCGCGUGAGUGAUGAAGGCUUUCGGGUCGUAAAACUCUGUUGUUAGGGAAGAACAAGUGCUAGUUGAAUAAGCUGGCACCUUGACGGUACCUAACCAGAAAGCCACGGCUAACUACGUGCCAGCCGCCGCCGUAA
Molecule: ribosomal RNA, 515 nt
Filed under: uncultured bacterium
Lineage: Bacteria
Description: partial 16S ribosomal RNA
Rfam family: Bacterial small subunit ribosomal RNA
Source: RNAcentral